Molecule: microRNA, 21 nt
Filed under: Marchantia polymorpha subsp. ruderalis
Lineage: Eukaryota; Viridiplantae; Streptophyta; Marchantiopsida; Marchantiales; Marchantiaceae
Source: RNAcentral
GGAGAAAACGAUGGAAAGUGC